AAGGCAUCUAAUGAUUUGGGUGACUCACCUCUGCUUGCACAUACAGUAUCAGAGUCCUUUCUCUGGCACGUGUGGCCCGUGACAUAGAUGUCUGGAGUUGUUACCAACCGGUGGUUCCCAAAAUGAUGUCAGCCGCUUGCUGAACUGUCACAGAAGCAAGGUAAGCGCUGUGUAACUGCCUUCACAGCUGGGCUGGGCAACAAAACUGGCAAGUGCCAGUUCUGUGAGGACACGGAGGUAGCUGAAGGGAAAGCUGUCUGACAUCUGGCAACAGUUUAUAGGUCAAAACUUAAGAACAUGAAAUGCAGAAUCAAUGACUCGGGUAUCUCCACCCAAACCCAGUAAAUGAUAAAAAGAAGAAAGGUAUAUUUAUCAAACUUUGACUCCUUUAGAUGGAAAGGUCUCCAGAAGUGAGGCUACAUUCAAAGUUAGCCUCACGUAAAACCAUGGAUAAGAAGUGGCAGAAAGAGACAACAAACACCUUGUAAGUGAUGGCAGCACUACAAAAAACAUUUUCAUGGCUGGUGGGACCACUGUUCAUCCAUUUCUGCUGAAUCUACUCUUUCUCUUUAAAGGUCCAGCACGACGUUCAGCUGACUUACCAGGCUUGGGUUCCUCAGCAAACCACCUUACAUUGCCAGCCAUCAAACCUCAGCCGUGUCACCUCAGGAGGUCCACGCACAGCUCAGGAGACUAUUUCCCAGCCUUCCACAAGAAAUCAGAGGAACAUCCAGUGAGAUGUAAGCUGCUUGACCAGAGGGGAAGGAUGAAGAAGAUCCAACAUAUUUCCCAGAGCUGGAAUAGGAAAUAGAAGAGGGAUUGGAAAGGAAGAUUGGAUCCAACGUCCUCAAGGGCAAUUGCAGCAGCCAGAGCAGAGAUGGAGGAGGAAGGGGAUGAGGAGGGAGAAGGAGUUGUAUCUCACCAGCUUAAAUGGGACUUCUCAAUUCUUUAGGUUGUCAGGUAGACAGUUUGAUUCGUAAAGCAAAUCUGAUUCUGGACCGGCCA
Molecule: long non-coding RNA, 1005 nt
Filed under: Otus sunia (Oriental scops-owl)
Lineage: Eukaryota; Metazoa; Chordata; Aves; Strigiformes; Strigidae
Description: lncRNA (ENSOSUG00000009925.1)
Source: RNAcentral